Molecule: small nuclear RNA, 101 nt
Filed under: Rhinolophus ferrumequinum (greater horseshoe bat)
Lineage: Eukaryota; Metazoa; Chordata; Mammalia; Chiroptera; Rhinolophidae
Source: RNAcentral
GCAACACAUAUACUAGUAAUACAAUUGGAAUGAUACAAGGAAGAUUAGCAUGGCCCCUGUGCAAGGAUGACAUGAAAAUUCAUGAAACAUUCUAUAUUUAA